RNAcentral lists this ribosomal RNA (445 nucleotides) under uncultured bacterium. RNAcentral describes it as "partial 16S ribosomal RNA". It matches the Rfam family "Bacterial small subunit ribosomal RNA", at positions 354 to 796 of the family's 1533-position model. The record is from RNAcentral.
GUGAGGAAUAUUGGACAAUGGGCGCAAGCCUGAUCCAGCCAUGCCGCGUGCAGGAAGACGCAUCUAUGGUGUGUAAACUGCUUUUGUACGGGAAGAAACACUCACUCGUGAGGGAGCUUGACGGUACCGUAAGAAUAAGGAUCGGCUAACUCCGUUCCAGCAGCCGCGGUAAUACGGAGGAUCCAAGCGUUAUCCGGAAUCAUUGGGUUUAACGGGUCCGUAGGCGGUUUUAUAAGUCAGUGAUGAAAGCCCAUCGCUAAACGAUGGAACUGACAUUGAUACUGUUAGACUUGAAUUACAUGGAAAUAACUAGAGUAUGUAGUAUAGCGGUGAAAUGCUUAGAUAUUACAUUGAAUACCAAUUGCGAAGGCAGCUUACUACUUGUGGAUUUACUCUGAUGGACGAAAGCGUGGGGAGCGAACAGGAUUAGGAACACGUGAAGACC